GGGGAAUAUUGCACAAUGGGCGAAAGCCUGAUGCAGCAACGCCGCGUGAGUGAUGAAGGCCUUCGGGUUGUAAAGCUCUGUCUUUGGGGACGAUAAUGACGGUACCCAAGGAGGAAGCCACGGCUAACUACGUGCCAGCAGCCGCGGUAAUACGUAGGUGGCGAGCGUUAUCCGGAAUUAUUGGGCGUAAAGAAUGCGUAGGUGGACUCUUAAGUCAGAUGUGAAAUCCCCGAGCUUAACUCGGGAGCUGCAUUUGAAACUGGGAGCCUGGAGUGCAGGAGAGGUAAGUGGAAUUCCUAGUGUAGCGGUGAAAUGCGUAGAUAUUAGGAAGAACAUCGGUGGCGAAGGCGACUUACUGGACUGUUACUGACACUGAGGCAUGAAAGCGUGGGGAGCAAAC
Molecule: ribosomal RNA, 400 nt
Filed under: uncultured bacterium
Lineage: Bacteria
Description: bacterial SSU rRNA
Rfam family: Bacterial small subunit ribosomal RNA
Source: RNAcentral